GCCCGGGUAGCUCAAUCGGUAGAGCGUGUGGCUCUUAUGAAUUCUUCACUAGAACACCUCAAGGUCGUGGGUUCGAGCCCCACCUCGGGCU
This is a non-coding RNA of Cadophora sp. M221, 91 nucleotides long. The record is from the annotation of a GenBank genome assembly. NCBI's taxonomy places the organism in Eukaryota, Fungi, Ascomycota, Leotiomycetes, Helotiales, Ploettnerulaceae.